UGCAGCAUACCCACUUUGGUUUUUAAGUAUUAACCCUAGCCGUCAUGUAAACAGAACCCUUUCGUUCUAAUUAAGGUUUUGCUUUUCUUCUCUUUCUUGUAUCAAACCUUGUUCUAUUUUCAUCUUAUUAAGGUUCGGGUUCUGUUUAUGUUUUGAUUUGAUUAUUCUGCAAACGCUUGAUGGAAGUUGGAUCCAUUGGUUUUGGGGUUCGGUUUGAUAUGGGUCCGGUAGGUGAGUUCUUAGAGAUGGUUUUAUCUCUUCGAAUCCGGUUUUUUUCGAUCGUGGUUUCUCUGUUUAAAUUGAAAGGUAAAAACGGUAUCCACGUUGUUUGGAUAAUACGUCAUGCUUUGAAGGUAAAGUAGAAGAAGCAUGAUUGUUGGAAUAAUAAGUUGUGGAUGAUUUGUAGUUUUCCUUGCAAGAAAGGUAGGGUGGAUUGGACACUAAUAUGUUUUCCUUGCAAGGAAGGUAAGGUGGAUGACUGAACAACAUGUUGCUUUCACCUAUUAAGAUCAAUUUAGAACUACCAAUGUAUUUGAAAAACUUUGUUGUAUAUUCACGACAAUUCACAUUUAUCAUUUUAUGAUUGAGGAACUUGUUAACCAUUUGUUAAAAUUAUGUUAGAAACGUACAUCACCUUAUCUUUUUUCGGCAGAUCUUUUACUUGAUCCAUUGUCAAGAUUACAAAGAGAUUAGAUAGUUUGGUUUAAAUUAUCGAGGUUACAUGGAAAAAGAUUAGAUAGUUUUAUUUUGGUAAUUUAUUUUGUAGCAACAGAGUUCUCAUAUAGCGACUGCUUCCAUCGUGAUCAUACCCUCAUUUUCUUGUGGUGACCCCUUUUAUGGUGUUUUGUUUGUAGUGAACAGAAAAGUUUUUGUAAUUAUUUGUAUUUGUUUCUUUGUGUUUUGUUUGUAGUGAACAGAAAGUUUUUGUAAUUAUUUGUAUUUGUUUCUUUG
This is a long non-coding RNA of Helianthus annuus (common sunflower), 951 nucleotides long. RefSeq lists it as uncharacterized. The record is from RefSeq and is a predicted model, not a curated record. NCBI's taxonomy places the organism in Eukaryota, Viridiplantae, Streptophyta, Magnoliopsida, Asterales, Asteraceae. The transcript has 2 exons.